GGGUAGCUCAGUUGGCAGAGCGAUUCACUCGUAAUGAAUAGGUCAGGGGUUCGAUUCCCCUCUC
RNAcentral lists this transfer RNA (64 nucleotides) under marine eukaryotic metagenome. It matches the Rfam family "tRNA", at positions 5 to 66 of the family's 71-position model. From Rfam's summary of the family: Transfer RNA (tRNA) molecules are approximately 80 nucleotides in length. The record is from RNAcentral.